AUGGAGAGGGGAGGUCGGGGGACAGAAGACAUCAGGAUGUCUAAAGCAGCAGAGGAGGAGAAGCCUGGGACUGAGUAUCCAGGGGACAGUUCAGACUCUAACAGGAACAGCCCCGAUGACCAGGUCCAGCCGAUGAAAACAAGCCCUUCAGACGUCUCCCCAACACGGACCGUCAGCAAGGGAAAAGGCGAGGAAAGCUGUGAGAUGAUCCACACCACCAUCCCCCCUGCUCCACCUACACCUCCCUCCCAGCAACAGCUACAGCAGCAGCAACAGCUACAGCUACAACAGCAGCAGCAACAGCAGCAGCAACAGCAGCAACAGCUGCAACAGCUGCAACAGCACCAACAGCAGCAACAGCAGCAGCAACAGCAGCAACACCACCAGCUGAUGCUGGCUGGCAGUCAGCUAGCAGGGGUGAGACAUCACACACGCACAAUGUGUAUGAAUGAAAUAAUGCAGGCGGAAAGGUUUGACCCUGUUAUUGUCCAACAAUAGCAACUCUAUUUCACAGAUUUCCAAGCUGGACAUUUUUACUUUAUGUGAACAUUGAUUUGUACAGAAAACAAAUGGAUUUUCACAUCUGUGUCUAAAUGAAGUUGAGUUAAAUGUUCUGUGAAUGAAGUAAACAGCAUUCAUAUGAGCGACACUGUGUUCACUUGUUAAUGUUAAGCUCAGAGGAAUGUUGUGUCAACGGUAGGAAAACAUUCAGUAAAACAACAUGCCUGCCCUGAGGAUAGUCGCUGUGUGGGUGUGUGUAGGUUAAGCGAGAGGCUCCUGUCUAGGUUCUGGUAACAGUUUAGGCUACACAUCCAUUCCUGGAAAGUUGCUCCUUGUU
Gasterosteus aculeatus (three-spined stickleback) is the source of this 838-nucleotide long non-coding RNA. NCBI's taxonomy places the organism in Eukaryota, Metazoa, Chordata, Actinopteri, Perciformes, Gasterosteidae. The record is from Ensembl.